Long non-coding RNA from Corticium candelabrum, 1197 nucleotides. RefSeq lists it as uncharacterized. The record is from RefSeq and is a predicted model, not a curated record. NCBI's taxonomy places the organism in Eukaryota, Metazoa, Porifera, Homoscleromorpha, Homosclerophorida, Plakinidae. The transcript has 3 exons.
CAAGAGAUGGUCGCUUUGUUUAGUCACUGCUUGCAGAAUGCCUUGCUGUUGCGCUUGGGGAUGCAGCAAUACAACUGAAAAGGGUACAAACUGUGUCGCUUUCCAAAAGACCCUGCAAGAAGGAAGAUUUCGGAGGCGAAAGUCGACGUCGUUGGGUGUCAUGUCCGACGAGCUUAGAUAAUUAUUUCUCUAUGUGGCUCAUUUUGACGAGUCUCAAUUCGAGAAUUGCAUGCAGAGCCGACAGGAAGAGAGAGCUGAAAGGAAAUGCCACUUCGACGUACAUUCCCUCAUCGCAAAGCUGAGUUUCGGAGAAAGUCUCCUUCAGUUAAGACGAAGGGUAGAUCUGGAAGCAAGAGCUCCCCUCGUCUCGUGGGAUCAUUCCUGUUGUUCUUCCAUGGAGGCCGGGAGCACAAGUUUCUUCAAAUGACAGAGAGAGGGUUGCAGUUGAUGAUAUGAUACAGGAAAGUAAUUGUGAUGAUGAGGUUUCCUCACUUGACACCCUACUCUGUCUCAGCUAGAAUGCAAAUAAUUAAAGGAACUGAGGAGGGAGCUAGUUCAAGCUAAACACUAGAAGAGAACAAUUUUGCAUCAGAAACUGAAAAUAAAAGAUUUAGCAAUUUUUGGAAAGACCAGCUCACCGGCAGCUCUUUCAAGAGGUCUAUAGCAUGAGAGGCACGCUUUGGAAAUCAUCAACCACCAAGAACUUGCUUGUGGAUCUGUUGAAUACAACCUACUUUUGAAACAGCACCAUCCAUUGCCAUCUGCGUACUCUUCAACAAAGAAUGUCAACCAUCUCUUCUAACCCUACCAUAGACCAUCUUCACUCAAAACUGCAGCAUCUUUCUGAACAGGAGAAACGUUGCUGUCUGACAAUGGAUGAAAUGUCCAUUACCCCAGGGGUUGAGUUUGAUACAAGUAGUGGUCAGAGGCAAUUUCACACUGCUUGGUCAACUUAAGCAUGGGCGUGCCACGGACUUUUAGGUGGGAUGGGUUAGCAUCACGGUAGAAGCAAAGCAGACAGUUGCUUACUACUUUACUGACAAUUUUACUUUUGCCACUGUCCUCAAGCCCAUUGUAUUGGAAAUUAUAUGGUGCAUGGACCAUAAUUGCAUGGUAAUUAACAUGAGAGGUAAUUAGAAAUUAAAAAUUUAGUGUAACUUUUAUUUAUAUAUUAUAAGCCAAAAAUAAAGGGACAAC